UGGGACAGUCAAGACAAGGCAACCACUUGGCAGCCCCGAACCAAGAUGUGAUGAUUUCCAUGAGCUGAUCCUCUGGGUUGUGACGAGGAAAUGGAAAAGAACGCAUUUUUCAGAUCAAUAUCUGCAUACCAUGUGCCAGAGUAUGUAUUGUAAUAAUGAUGCCACAGAAGGCAUAAUUGGGGAUACCAAUUGAUAAAACGCAUGGCAGUCCAUCAUCAUCUGCCGUGAUUCAUUUGGAGUUUUGCAGGAGUCAUAGCAGUGAAUUGAAUGAGGACAUGAUGGAGAUCACCAACCUAACAUCCUUCAAGUCUUUGACGGUGGCAUUAAUAUUGGCAAUCCUACCCUGGAUGAAGUCUUGCUUCAGGUUAACUACCAUGGUGGACAUUGUGAUGUGGUGCUCAGAUUCCCCCUACAGGAAUCUCUCCAACUUAUUUCCUCAGCUGUCAGCUCUCUUUUGGAAUUGCCUUGGCUAAAGAGAGCUCCUCACCCUGGGUCAUGUCUCUCUUCCAAAGGAAGCCCACGUUGAAUGACUGAUUAAUGCAGGGAAUAUCAAAUUCUAGCCCCCUCACCCUAAUUCAAGACAACUGUGGAGGGCUAUCUCAGCUUUAGAGCACCCUGUGGGGUUGCUGAGGGCUUCACUGAGAUUGCAUCACAGCCCAACUUUUCCUUUGUCCAGUCCUGCUUCCUCCCCACAGCAGAUAUUUAUCUUGAAGUCACUCCCUAAUAAACCUUCUGCAGUGUCUCAGAGUCUGCUUCCUAGGGAACCCAAGCUAUCACAACCAUCUUGGUCAGUA
RNAcentral lists this long non-coding RNA (794 nucleotides) under Equus asinus (donkey). Its description in RNAcentral is "lncRNA (ENSEASG00005027343.1)". Lineage: Eukaryota; Metazoa; Chordata; Mammalia; Perissodactyla; Equidae. The record is from RNAcentral.